Long non-coding RNA from Microplitis mediator, 800 nucleotides. RefSeq lists it as uncharacterized. The transcript has 3 exons. Lineage: Eukaryota; Metazoa; Arthropoda; Insecta; Hymenoptera; Braconidae. The record is from RefSeq and is a predicted model, not a curated record.
GAACAAGAUUACGAGGCUUUCCACAUUUGACAGCGUCGUUAUUUCUUACAAAUUGACGAUUUACCAUCGAGGUACGAGUCAAGAUCUUGGAUGCGAUGAACAUCUUUAAUUUUUUAUAAAAUACUUCCGCAAGAUUUGAUGAAAAUUUGUUUCAAUCUCAACUCAAUAUGAAUAUGAGUUAAUUUUCUAAACCACACACACAAGUGUCUGGACUUGGUUGUGUGUGUCCUUGAAGCUGAAUAAAAAUCAACCAACAAAAGCGCCACUGUUGUUAUUUUACCGAAAUACUAAACGAUAAUUAAAUCAGAGAAAGUGAAAAUGGAGUUUACUGUUGACGUGAAUCUUGCAAGAGUUUAAAAUAAAUAAAUAAAAGGUGGAGUUGGUUCAUUUUUAUCUAUAUCAUGUUUUAAAAUCAAUACCAGACAUGAUACUGAAAUCAGCCGGCGUCUAUUAAUUUUUGGAUUUUUUUUUAAACAAUAAUAUAUUUUUAAAAAAAUAAUUGAAAAAAUUGCACCUGUAGUUUUUUAAAUUCUCCACAAGUGCAUAUUUUUUUUUUUGUUUUUGUUAUUUAUUUGUUGAAAAAAAUCUGAAAAUUACUAAUUGCUGACUUCAGGAUCAUUACCGGACUUACAAAAAAAAUUACUAAUUUUUGAACAAUUAGAAGAUCAUUUGAGACAAAAGUCUAUUUUUUUUGGAGAGAAAUUAUCAAAAUUAUUAAAAUUGCAUGCAAAGAAAAAUUAGCAGCAAUAAAUUAUUACAUAAGAUUGCACAAUAAAAUAAAAAAAUAUACUUACGCUCCA